GUAUUUCUUUUAAUUCAAGUGCAAACACCGAUAAUGAUUGGUUGUUGGUUUCUUAACGUUCAGUGGCACAUAUAUCAUGCAUGCUCAGGACGAAUUACGUUCACUGAUAUACUUAGAAAGACUAUUCAGUGAAGAAAAUAAUCAUUCAAUAUAUAGUACUUUCUGUUUACCUAUAUGGCUCAAAACAAUUAAACGGUUGAUAUUAUUAGAAAAUCUAUCUAACGGAAAUUACAAAACAGACAUUUAUAAAAAAAAAAAAAAACUGAA
Molecule: long non-coding RNA, 267 nt
Filed under: Mytilus galloprovincialis (Mediterranean mussel)
Lineage: Eukaryota; Metazoa; Mollusca; Bivalvia; Mytilida; Mytilidae
Source: RNAcentral